AAGGAGCGUACCUUGUGCUUGAAAAGGAAGGAAGAGCGAUCCAAGGCUGCCAAUAGAGGAAGAAAAGUCGUGGCUUGAUGUUCAUAAGGAAAUAUGCAUGUACUAAGGCUUUCAGAAGAGGAAGGAUGCGCGGAUCAUGCUUCCAGAAGAGGAGGCGCGCGCAUGGAUUGCAAAAGAGGCAGGAGAAUGCAGUCAUUAAUGUGCAGAAGUGGAAAGAUAUAUGUCCAGUCUUUCCUUUUUAGGUGGAGCCUUCAUUUGAAUUUUAAACGCUGAACGCAGAAGAGGCAAGUGUGCCUUGAUGAGACCUUGCUGCCUAAAUUGGAAGAUUUGACUGCUGCAGUACGUGCACAUCUUUGAAUAAGGAAAGAAAGAUCUGCGAUUCGAAAUUCAAAUAAUUUCCUGACUGAGCUUUCCUUAUUUGCUUUUGUCUCUGCACUUUCCUCAUUUGAAGACUUUCCUUUUCUGAAAACCUGCCUUAUUUGAAAACUUUCCUUUCUUAGCACAUGUUCUAAAUAAGGCAGGAAAGAUUCUGCAGUUCGAAUUUCGGACAGUUUGCUGACUGUGCUUUUUGACACUUUCCUUAUUUGGC
RNAcentral lists this long non-coding RNA (589 nucleotides) under Manihot esculenta (cassava). RNAcentral describes it as "long non-coding RNA (MESC_LNC012864)". Lineage: Eukaryota; Viridiplantae; Streptophyta; Magnoliopsida; Malpighiales; Euphorbiaceae. The record is from RNAcentral.